RNAcentral lists this long non-coding RNA (355 nucleotides) under Homo sapiens (human). RNAcentral's name for it is "LHRI_LNC2127.1". Lineage: Eukaryota; Metazoa; Chordata; Mammalia; Primates; Hominidae. The record is from RNAcentral.
GGCAGUGCCACAGCUGGGCACUUUACUCCCCAACAUAAAUGUAGGCAUUUCUGUGUCUUGUGAGCCCAUGAAUCCUCAUAAGACCCUGUUGAGUUGGGAAUUACUGCAGAGCUGUAACAGACAGAAAACCUAGGCCCACAGACAGCCAGUGACCUCCCAUGGGCACACAGUUUGGGUGUGGCAGAGCGCGGUAUGGAAUCCAAGCCUUCUGGUGCUAAACCCUGCAGGAUUCUGGCAGGUCACACUCCAGGCUCCCAAGCCAAGCAAGCGUUUGAAAAUGCCUUCCCAUGUCCAGUCGCGGUGGCUCACACCUGUAAUCCCAGCACUUUGGGAGGCCAAGAUGGGUGGAUCACUU